RNAcentral lists this ribosomal RNA (1971 nucleotides) under human gut metagenome. RNAcentral describes it as "bacterial LSU rRNA". It matches the Rfam family "Bacterial large subunit ribosomal RNA", at positions 3 to 1999 of the family's 2925-position model. The record is from RNAcentral.
UCAAGCAAGAAAGAGCACAAGGAGAAUGCCUUGGCACUAGGAGCCGAUGAAAGACGUGGUAAGCUGCGAAAAGCUUCGGGGAGGCGCAAACAGCCAUCGAUCCGGAGAUAUCUGAAUGGGGAAACCUACUUGAGCAAACCUCAAGUAUCCAUGCGUGAAUCCAUAGCGUAUGGAAGGGAACGCUGUGAACUGAAACAUCUAAGUAGCAGUAGGAGGAGAAAGAAAACUCGAUUUCCUAAGUAGCGGCGAGCGAACGGGAAAGAGGCCAAACCGAAGGACCUGGUUCUUCGGGGUUGUGGACUGCAUUUAGCAUUGCUGAGAGAUAGACGAAUGGUUUUGGGAAAGCCAGCCGUAGACGGUGAAAGCCCGGUAGACGAAAUCUUGAAGCAGCGAGCAGGAUCCAGAGUACCACGAGACACGAGAAACCUUGUGGGAAGCCGGGGGGACCACCCCCCAAGCCUAAAUACUCCCUAGUGACCGAUAGUGAAGCAGUACUGUGAAGGAAAGGUGAAAAGGACCCCGGGAGGGGAGUGAAAGAGAACCUGAAACCUUGUGCUUACAAACAGUCAAAGGCCUACGGGCUGAUGGCGUACUUUUUGUAGAACGGUCCGGCGAGUUACUAAUGCCAGCGAGGUUAAGUGGUCAGAAGCCACGGAGCCGAAGGGAAACCAAGUCUGAAUAGGGCGUAGAGUUGGUAUUAGUAGACCCGAAACCGGGUGACCUAUCCAUGUCCAGGUUGAAGGAACCGUAAAAGGUUUUGGAGGACCGAACACACAUGUGUUGAAAAACGUGGUGAUGAGGUGUGGAUAGCGGAGAAAUUCCAAUCGAACUCGGAGAUAGCUGGUUCUCCUCGAAAUAGCUUUAGGGCUAGCCUCGAGCUGGAGUCUAACGGAGGUAAAGCACUGAACUGACGCGGGGCCCAAAAAGGUUACCAACUCAUAUCAAACUAAGAAUGCCGUCAAGAUACCCUCGGGAGUCAGUCUGCGUGAGAUAAGUCGCGUGGACAAAAGGGAAAGAGCCCAGACCGACAGCUAAGGUCCCAAAGUACGUGUUAAGUGGAAAAGGAUGUGGGAUUUCAUAGACAACUAGGAUGUUGGCUUAGAAGCAGCCAUACAUUUAAAGAGUGCGUAAUAGCUCACUAGUCGAGAAAACCUGCGCCGAAAAUGUAACGGGGCUAAAACACGACACCGAAGCUACGGAUUUCCUACUAGGUAGGAAGUGGUAGAGGAGCAUCCUGCAAGGACGAAGCCAAAGUGAGAGCGAUGGUGGACGAAACAGGAGAGAGAAUGCCGGAAUGAGUAGCGAGAUACAUGUGAGAAACAUGUAGGCCGAAUAUCUAAGGAUUCCUGGGUAAAGCUAAUCUUCCCAGGGUUAGUCGGGGCCUAAGGCGAGGACGAGAGUCGUAGUCGAUGGAUAACAGGUUGAUAUUCCUGUACUACACAUAAUCAGAACUGUGGGGACGCAGGAGGAUAGGGAAACCGGGGAAUGGAAAGACCCGGUCAAGCGCAAAGCUGUGGGAGAUAGGCAAAUCCGUCUCUUGUAAGUGAAGCGUGAUGAGGACUGAAAAAAAGUAAGGAAGUUUCCGAAUCCACACUGCCGAGAAAAGCCGCUAUUGCGUUAUGUGUACCCGUACCGUAAACCGACACAGGUAGAUGAGGAGAAAAUCCACAGGCCGACGGGAGAAGUGUUGUUAAGGAACUCGGCAAAAUGACCCCGUAACUUCGGGAUAAGGGGAGCCUCGCAAGAGGCCGCAGAAAAGAGGCACAAGCAACUGUUUAGCAAAAACAUAGGUCUAUGCGAAACCGUAAGGUGAAGUAUAUGGGCUGACGCCUGCCCGGUGCUGGAAGGUUAAAAGGAGAGGUCAGCGCAAGCGAAGCUUUGAAUUCAAGCCCCAGUAAACGGCGGCCGUAACUAUAACGGUCCUAAGGUAGCGAAAUUCCUUGUCAGGUAAGUUCUGACCCGCACGAAUGG